RNAcentral lists this ribosomal RNA (226 nucleotides) under uncultured bacterium. RNAcentral's name for it is "partial 16S ribosomal RNA". It matches the Rfam family "Bacterial small subunit ribosomal RNA", at positions 538 to 762 of the family's 1533-position model. The record is from RNAcentral.
ACGUUAUUCGGAAUCACUGGGCUUAAAGCGCGUGUAGGCGGCCUGGAGCGUCAGCAGCUGAAAUCCCCCGGCUCAACCGGGGAACGGGCUCUGAAACGUCCAGGCUGGAGGGGGGUAGGGGGAGCCGGAACUCACGGUGGAGCGGUGAAAUGCGUUGAGAUCGUGAGGAACGCCCGUGGCGAAAGCGGGCUCCUGGACCCCACCUGACGCUGAGACGCGAAAGCUA